Molecule: long non-coding RNA, 229 nt
Filed under: Cucumis sativus (cucumber)
Lineage: Eukaryota; Viridiplantae; Streptophyta; Magnoliopsida; Cucurbitales; Cucurbitaceae
Description: long non-coding RNA (CSAT_LNC002258)
Source: RNAcentral
UAAUUGUUUUGAUGUUAAAUGAGAUGAUUUGUAUGAUAAUUAAAUUAGGGAGAUGUUAUAGGAAAUAGAAAUGACACUCUCGGAUGUGAUAGAGAAUUUGAUGUGGAAAUUAAGAAGGAAAGAAAUCGGUGGAGUGUUUCAAAGGAUUGAUUAAAGCUGUUGAGGAUGCUAAGAUGGAGCUAAGAAGAAGAAAGCAGAGAAAGAAGAAGAAGGUCGACAAUGAGAAAGC